UGAUCAAACAUGCGUGCCGGAGGGGGAUGAAAUUGAACAGAUAAGUACUGGUCAGACAAAGGUCAGACAUGCGUGCCAAGGGGAGGGGAUGAAAUUGAACUGAUAAGUUAUGAUCAAACACGCGUGCCAGGGGGGGGGGGGGGGAGUAUCACUCUCCAGUGACUUUAAUAUAAUAGAUCAGCUGCGUCUAUAAUCCUAUGGAGUGAAUUUUUCAAAUUUUUGUAAAAUUUCCCGUCGACUGGUAUAACUAUUGUGGUCGCUUAUAUCUCGUGUUUAAAACGACCUGAAACUCAUUAGAAGCAGUGUGGGAAACUAUAUCUUUACGUAGAAGAAGCUUGAUAGUAGAACUAGUAGACAAUUCCCAUUAUAGACUAAUUUUAAAAUUAGGCAAGGAAACUCAAAUAAAUUACCACAGCUAGAAAGAGCAUACUAAAAUUAGUAAAAUAACAAAAUUUGGUAGCGAAAUGUUGUAAAAUGAGGAAAAUAUAACCUUGCAAAGUUCGCAAAUUUUGUAUACUUUUGUAUUGCUUGCGGAAAUUCCUACCACAUUUAGGCCGAAAGUGGUCGCACGCAAUACAAAAGUAUACAAA
Non-coding RNA from Paramuricea clavata, 590 nucleotides. The record is from the annotation of a GenBank genome assembly. NCBI's taxonomy places the organism in Eukaryota, Metazoa, Cnidaria, Anthozoa, Malacalcyonacea, Plexauridae.